Molecule: ribosomal RNA, 494 nt
Filed under: uncultured bacterium
Lineage: Bacteria
Description: partial 16S ribosomal RNA
Rfam family: Bacterial small subunit ribosomal RNA
Source: RNAcentral
GACGAACGCUGGCGGCGUGCUUAACACAUGCAAGUCGAACGGUGAAGCGCCUUCCUUUUUGGUUGGUGUGGAUGAGUGGCGAACGGGUGAGUAACACGUGAGUAACCUGCCCCCUUCUUCUGGAUAACCGCAUGAAAGUGUGGCUAAUACGGGAUAUUCUGGGUCUGUCGCAUGAUGGGUCUGGGAAAGAUAUUGUUUCGGUGGGGGAUGGGCUCGCGGCCUAUCAGCUUGUUGGUGGGGUGAUGGCCUACCAAGGCGGUGACGGGUAGCCGGCCUGAGAGGGUGGACGGUCACACUGGGACUGAGACACGGCCCAGACUCCUACGGGAGGCAGCAGUGGGGAAUAGUGCACAAUGGGCGCAAGCCUGAUGCAGCGACGCCGCGUGAGGGAUGGAGGCCUUCGGGUUGUGAACCUCUUUCGCUAGUGAAGCAGGCCUGCCUCGUUUGUGGGUGGGUUGACGGUAGCUGGAUAAGAAGCGCCGGCUAACUACGUG